Molecule: ribosomal RNA, 433 nt
Filed under: uncultured bacterium
Lineage: Bacteria
Description: partial 16S ribosomal RNA
Rfam family: Bacterial small subunit ribosomal RNA
Source: RNAcentral
AACGAACGCUGGCGGCAUGCCUAACACAUGCAAGUCGAACGAGACCUUCGGGUCUAGUGGCGCACGGGGGCGUAACGCGUGGGAACCUGCCCUUAGGUUUGGAAUAACUCCCCGAAAGGGGUGCUAAUACGGGAUAAUGUCUUCGGACCAAAGAUUUAUCGCCUUUGGAGGGGCCCGCGUUGGCUUAGCUAGUUGUGAGGGUAAAAGCCUACCACGGCGACGAUCCAUAGCGGGUCUGAGAGGAUGAUCAGCGACACUGGGACUAAGCCACGGCCCAGACUCUUACGGGAGGCAGCAGUGGGGAAUCUUGGACAGUGGGCGAAAGCCUGAUCGAGCACUGACGCGUGAGUGCUGAAGGUCGUAGGGUUGUAAAGCUCUUUUACCCCUGAUGAUAAUGACAGUACCGGGAGAAUAAGCUCCGGCUAACUUCGUG